RNAcentral lists this ribosomal RNA (253 nucleotides) under uncultured bacterium. RNAcentral describes it as "partial 16S ribosomal RNA". It matches the Rfam family "Bacterial small subunit ribosomal RNA", at positions 524 to 776 of the family's 1533-position model. The record is from RNAcentral.
UACGGGGGAGCAAGCGUUGUUCGGAUUUACUGGGCGUAAAGGGCGCGUAGGCGGCGUGACAAGUCACUUGUGAAAUCUCCGGGCUUAACUCGGAACGGUCAAGUGAUACUGUCGUGCUAGAGUACAGAAGGGGCAACUGGAAUUCUCGGUGUAGCGGUGAAAUGCGUAGAUAUCGAGAGGAACACCUGCGGCGAAGGCGGGUUGACUGGGCUGAUACUGACGCUGAGGCGCGAAAGCUAGGGGAGCGAACGGG